This 611-nucleotide ribosomal RNA is filed under the name uncultured marine bacterium. Its description in RNAcentral is "bacterial SSU rRNA". It matches the Rfam family "Bacterial small subunit ribosomal RNA", at positions 879 to 1501 of the family's 1533-position model. The record is from RNAcentral.
AGUACGUUCGCAAGAAUGAAACUCAAAGGAAUUGACGGGGGCCCGCACAAGCGGAGGAGCAUGUGGUUUAAUUCGAUGAUACGCGAGGAACCUUACCAAGGCUUAAAUGUAAUAUGACCGGUUGAGAGAUCAACCUUUUUUCGAACAGAUUACAAGGUGCUGCAUGGUUGUCGUCAGCUCGUGCCGUGAGGUGUCGGGUUAAGUCCCAUAACGAGCGCAACCCCUAUUUUUAGUUACCAGCGAGUAAUGUCGGGAACUCUAGAAAAACUGCCUGUGCAAACAGAGAGGAAGGUGGGGAUGACGUCAAAUCAUCACGGCCCUUAUGUCUUGGGCUACACACGUGCUACAAUGGUUACUACAAUGUGAUGCCAUCUGGUGACAGAGAGCUAAUCAAUAAAGGUAAUCUCAGUUCGGAUUGGAGUCUGCAACUCGACUCUAUGAAGUUGGAUUCGCUAGUAAUCGUAUAUCAGCCAUGAUACGGUGAAUACGUUCCCGGGCCUUGUACACACCGCCCGUCAAGCCAUGGAAGUUUGGGGUACCUGAAGUCAGUAACCGCAAGGAACUGCCUAGGGUAAAACAAAUAACUAGGGCUAAGUCGUAACAAGGUAACC